UACGUAGGGGGCAAGCGUUGUCCGGAUUUAUUGGGCGUAAAGAGCGUGUAGGCGGCCAGGGAGGUCCGUUGUGAAAACUCGAGGCUCAACCUCGAGAGGUCGGUGGAAACCGUGUGGCUAGAGUCCGGAAGAGGAGAGUGGAAUUCCCGGUGUAGCGGUGAAAUGCGCAGAUAUCGGGAAGAACACCCGUGGCGAAGGCGGCUCUCUGGGACGGUACUGACGCUGAGACGCGAAAGCGUGGGGAGCGAACAGG
This 253-nucleotide ribosomal RNA is filed under the name uncultured bacterium. Its description in RNAcentral is "partial 16S ribosomal RNA". It matches the Rfam family "Bacterial small subunit ribosomal RNA", at positions 524 to 776 of the family's 1533-position model. The record is from RNAcentral.